This 1432-nucleotide long non-coding RNA is filed under the name Anser brachyrhynchus (Pink-footed goose). Its description in RNAcentral is "lncRNA (ENSABRG00000016772.1)". Lineage: Eukaryota; Metazoa; Chordata; Aves; Anseriformes; Anatidae. The record is from RNAcentral.
CUGAUUUUCAAAGACAAAAUGUCAAAUACUAAGGAAAUUUACUUCCAAACAUGCAUACAUGAAAUGGAGAGAAGAAAUCCUUUCCUAUUUCAUGUGCCCAUUUUCAUACACCAGUGUCUUAAUUAGCCUGAGAGCAUCUAUUCCUAAAUUCCUACCUCCUAAAACUCCUAGCACUGUUCCAGUAAGUUCACUCUUGGACAAGGAACAAUGAGAGACAAAAAGCCUACAUGCUGCAGGAGAAAAGGAGAAAAAAGAGAAAAUCUAUUGAUCCUUAAAAAACCUUUUAUUUCCUUUGCGCCGAGGUGAUUCUUUAUGAAGGUGAAUAAUUAAGACGAUGGAAUUGAGAAGAUCUUUAAAAAAAGGUGAUGAAAGAAGCCAUUCAUGGACUAAUUAACAAAAUGCUAGAAGCAAAUGUUAACAGUUAACUGAUUGAGUAUCUCAAGGUGUGGUUCAUUUAAACCUAGCACCUGAUUGCUUGCUUACUUUAACACUUGCAUGCUUGCUUGCAAACAAUUGCAGUGUUCACUCUGCUUGUUUUCUUCCUCCCAUCUCCCUGGGAGCUCUUGAAUGUCCUGAGAGGGAGGGAGUCCAGUAACUUGCAUUUGUGCCCACCCUGAGCUGUGCAAACAAUUUAGGAUUCUCCAGGAGAGGGGUCUCUGCACCAGGGUCUGCCUGUGCCCAGGCUACUGAUAACAUUGGAAGCCUGCACAGAAGUGACUGCUUGAUGUGCUCGUCGGUGGAGGACACAAAACUUCCUUUGAACUCGAGAGCAGAGGAGAGCACCCAGCUGAUGUAUAGACUGGCAGAAUGGAGCAGCAGAAGAAUUAAGUCCCGUUUCUCACCAAAGAUAAGCAACAGAGCGAGCGGGGAAGCAACACAAGGCUCGCCGGCGAGCAAAAGCUCUCCUGGAACGGCGCAGACAGGCAGGGCGCUGACCUUUAGGAGGGAGAGGAAAAGCAUCAUUUUUUUCCAGCCCUCCAGUCACUGGAUGAAAGACGCUUUAAAGCUUCCAUCAGAGGGUGAUGCUGUCAGGGAUGGCUGAUUGAGGAUGUGUGAGGCACGGUGCUGCAGGCAAGUGCUGUGCUGCGGUGGGUACCGAGGCAGAUAGGGAAAAGCGUGGCCUCUUCCCUUCUGCAGCAAAGAAAGGGGCUUGCUGUGCCAGCUCGAGCUUACCUUUAAUGAACUUCCUAUUUUCCUUUUCACGUCACUGGGAUGCCUAACUCUUUUUUUUUUUUUUUAUUAAUGACGAAGUAAUUGGUUACAGCACAGGCUCUGUGCCCGUUAGCACAGUUGCUCCAAGCCAGUUAUACUUCCUGAUGCACCCUCUGCGUACAGGCAACGUGUUUGUUCCCUGAGUACAUGCGCUGUUUAAUAUCACACGUCUCCCUUUUGAAUUUUAAAGGGAAAACUAAUAAAGAAGAUCAUUGCAUCA